Molecule: long non-coding RNA, 3953 nt
Filed under: Homo sapiens (human)
Lineage: Eukaryota; Metazoa; Chordata; Mammalia; Primates; Hominidae
Description: non-protein coding lnc-ANK2-11:1
Source: RNAcentral
CUCUCUCACUAUACACUAAGCUUCUUGACCCAAGAACUGUGGUUUACUUUGUAUCUGUGCCAGAAAGUGGAUCAUAUCCACAAACUGGAUGACAAACUCAGGACCUACUCUUCAAUAGUCUUUGAGGAGUAAACGAAUUAGAAGUCUGCUUAAGUUGUGUUACUAUUAUUACUAGCUGUUGAACAUUUACUUAAGGGUAAGCAUUGUGCCAGGAGCUGCACAUACAUAAUCCUGAUUUUGUAGGUUUUCUCUUGAUUAUGCUUAUGUUCUUCUAAGAGAUAGAAUUUUAAUUAAUCAAACUAAAGGUUAAAUACUGCAAUGACAAAAAUAGAAAAAAUGAAGGUGUUAAUUUUACUGUGAUGUUUAUUAUUUAUUACUGUAACUGUUUUAAGACAAGAAACUUUCUGUAAAGUAAAAUGAUUCAAAGGGGGAAAAUGGCUUACAUGAUUCAAAUAUGAUCAAAACUUAUUUUGAGUUUGUAAGAGAAAUAUGCAAAUUAGACUCUGGUUGACAGUAAACUCAGCUAGGAAUAUGCAAAGAAUCCUCAAACACCAAUUUCACUGAGACAGAAAGAAUGCUAGAGUGACAGUGUCAUGAAAUGUCACAGAAAUUUUGGCAUAGGUAAUGAAAUUAGAAAUUCUAUUUUGCAUUUAAAUUAUUUAAAAUUAUACUAAAUUUUUUAAAAAUAGGAGAUGCCAAAUAGCUUCAUGUGCUUUCAAUUUCAUAACACUCUCCUUCCCUAAGGAAAAUACUAUUGAAUAUCCAGGGCUUAUGUGGAGCUUGCACAAGCCAGGGUCCCAGAGGGUCUGUGAUAUGAAUCCUAUAUUCUGAGUUGCACAGGAGAAUCAUACCAACUUCCACCAUUGGUAAAAAUUUAGGCGUGCAAGUCUGGAAUAAGGACUCUCUGACAUUUUGAAAGAGGAAGAUUUGAGCACUUCCUCAUAUCUCAGAAGCAACAAAGAAUCCUUUUUUCAAAAAAUUUUUAUCCUCUGGGACAUUUACAGAAGCAUCACAUUAAACCUGGAUAAAUGAAUGUAUCCCAGUUACUUAGUAGUUGCUGGCAUUGCAUUGAAUGUAUUCUACUACUUAGUCAGUUGCUGACAUUGCCCACGUGAUGGAUGCCAUGACUAUACCUAGGAUACAAGUAGAAGUAACGUAAGCAGCAGCAAGUAUUUUUUGAAACAGGGAAUGGUUUUAAGUUUUGAUGUCCACAAGUAGGUUCUUAAUAGUUUAAGCAUUUAUUUAAUUACUUGAUCUAAGUGGCCAGCUAAAUCAAAUGAUUCAGUAAAAUGACUAAAACUAGGAAAAUAGAGGGUUUGAAUUAUAUAGUUGAUAUUCCUAUUCAAAUAGGUAGAUAAUUUGCCAAUCUUCACUUCAUUUGAUGCUUCAUAGCCAUAUCUUCAAGUUCAUGGGCAAAUAGAGCAGUAGUAGUUUCACUAUAUAAUCAGCAGGAUAUGGAAGAGGCCAGACUGGUAAAAUUAGAAUUUUUUAAUUGUGUGGGUCACAGUCUCUGAAAGAAUAGUACUUAUGUUUUAUUCUCUAAUCUGCCAAAAUUGCUGGACUGUGAACAAACCUUCAGAUGCUUACUCAGAUUGAACUAUUUUAAUACCCAAUGAUUACUAUUUAGACUAAGUCAAAUGAGGCAGAUUUGCUAAAAUAACUGCUGGACACAUCUCAAUAAAAUUUAUCUGUUGAGUAUUUAAAAAUUUGGACAGAAAACAGGAACAAGUGUUACUAACUAUUCUCAGGUGUUACUAAACUUAUCAACUAUAAUCUCAGAAGUUCUGUGUUUACCUUUGAAUUUUAUUUGCUGACUUUAUUCACUAGAGCUGUUAUGACUUUUCCUAAAGUUAACUGUCCUGCUGAGUCUUGGAUGCUAAGUGUGCAGGAUAAGUUAGAAGCAGUCAGGAUCUGGGGUUGGCCAUGUAGAAGUAAUAUUAGCUAAAUGGUAAAUAGGAAGGUAAGAGAUUGUGUUCAGAGAUGUCAGCUAGGAAACAGAGUGAUAACACAAAAUAUUCAGUUUAAAACUGUCAGGUUGUAAGGAUCAGGAUACCAGGCUGAGAGAUUAAGGGAAAAUGGUCAGAGACCUAUGAGAGAUGGAAAAUUAAGAUGGUUCAAGUACUUAAACUUUUCAGUAUGUGUAGCAGGAGGCUAUAAUCUGAAGCAUAGAGUCUAAAUAGUUAUAGAUAAUUAUUACUGGUAGCUAUUCUUAACUAUUUUUAUGAGCUUUAUACUAAAACUACUAAGACAGAGGUUCUUACAGAGCUCUUAAGGCUAGAAAUGUUAUUAAAAUAUUAGACUUGAAUGAAUGGGUACUUAGCGGCAGGUGAGACCUGAAUGGAAUAGGGGACUGAUGAGUAGAGAGCUAGACAAUUUUCCUACCUACAUGUUUCUGAAAAGGAAGUGCUUAGAUUUGCAUCCCAGCUCCAUCACAUACUACCUGUAUGGAUUAAAUUCAUGUCAUUUAACCUCUCUCAUAAUAUUUAAUAUAGAAGAUUGCUAUGAUAAUAAAUGAAAUAAGUGCCUGACAUCAUGUCAGAUUCAGAGUAACCACUCAAUAAAUGUUAAUUUCUGUCCUUCUUCAUCUACCACCUAAGCACACUUUGUUUUACAGUAUUAUGUUUAUUCUUGUAUAUCUCAAUAAACUCUCUUUUUGAUAAUAGGAAAAGUGUGUUGGCAUUUUAUCACUAGUAUCUACCUGAUACAUGGUAGGUGAUCAAAAAUGUAUUCUAUAGAUAUAGCAUGUUUGGAAAGUAUUCCCCUUCUAAAGGAAAUAUUCCCUUCCUAAUAGGAAGAUAAUAUGGAAAACUUUAAGACAUUCUAAAUUUUACCAAGGACUUAACAACAACAAGAUAUAUAUACAUCAUUUAUACUUUCUAGGAUAGAUGUCAAUGAGAUUUACAAAAAUUAGACUGAUGGAACUCUGUGGUGAUAGGAAUCAGAAACUUGGUCAGUUAAAACACUUAGAAGUGGGCCUUCUUCCCAGUAAAGUAGUUGAAAAUACUAGACACUUGCUUUCUUGGCCUCCUUUGCUGCUGAUGUGAACUUCACUAGAAAGAUACAUAACCCUCAGCCAUGAUCAUGUUAAGAAUUUCCUUCCCCAAGUAGGGACUUGGGGAAGAUAGCACUGCUGGGAGCAGCAGUGGCCCUGGGACAUAGUCCAACAAAAGUGCUAGGUGGAUUGGUUGCAGAGUGGUAUCUUCCACAAAUUGGUUAUGCAACAUGAUUUUGGGCAUUCUUUCUCAAUUUUCUUUCCUAGGGAUUCUGUGAGCAAUCAAUACCCUUUUCAAUUCUACUUGCAACAAAACAGAAAGAAUAGAUUUUAAAUAUGCUGUCACCAAAGGCGCUCCGAACAUAUUUCUCUUUUCUUUACAUUUUAUCAUGUUGGUGACAUCGUAAAGGAAAAGAUGCUGGAGGGGGAGGGCAUCUUUCAAGGAGAAAAGAAAGAUUUAUGUUGGUACUUAAAAUGAGUUAAAAUUUAUUUCUAACAAUAUUAACAGGGACAACAACAGCUGUAGCAAGGAGAGAAAGUGUGUAUAGUAGUUUAAAAAUUGAAGAUGAAAUACUAGGAUGGUGUCAGAAAUUUUGAGUUUAAUACUCUAGGAAUAAAGUGAUUCUGAUUAAUAUGAGGGUGAAUUCAGAGACAGACAAGAGUCCGAUGUAACUGAUUACAUUAGCUCCCUUCCUCAAUAACGUUGCUGGCUACUGCCAAAACAUUCCCACAUCUAAUUAUUCCAGCACUGCUGCCCUUCCAUAUCAUCAAAUUUUCAUUCUCUACUGGAUAAUUUAAAUCAACAUGCACAUAUACUGUAAUAUCUCUCACCUACAAAACCCUGCCCUGUUCCUAUAUCAUCUUCUGUUUAUAUUCUACUCUACUUGUAGCAAAACUCAAGGAAUAAUUAUCUAAACUCAUCUUUAUUUCCUCUCUUCUCAUUCUCUCUUGAACCCACUUC